RNAcentral lists this ribosomal RNA (825 nucleotides) under uncultured organism. RNAcentral's name for it is "bacterial SSU rRNA". It matches the Rfam family "Bacterial small subunit ribosomal RNA", at positions 503 to 1340 of the family's 1533-position model. The record is from RNAcentral.
ACGUGCCAGCAGCAGCGGUAAUACGUAGGCGCCAAGCGUUAUCCGGAAUUAUUGGGCGUAAAGCGUCUGUCGGCGGCAAUAUAAGUCUGGUGUGAAAUUUCAAUGCUUAACAUUGAAUGCGUACUGGAAACUAUUUUGCUAGAGUCUAAGAGGGGCCACUGGAAUUUCCGUUGUAGGGGUAAAAUCCGUAGAUAACGGAAGGAACACCAAAAGCGAAAGCAGGUGGCUGGCUUAGUACUGACGCUCAGAGACGAAAGCGUGGGGAGCGAACGGGAUUAGAUACCCCGGUAGUCCACGCCGUAAACUAUGAGUGCUAGAUGUAGGAAGGGCUCGACCCCUUUCUGUGUCUACAGCUAACGCGUUAAGCACUCCGCCUGGGGAGUACGGUCGCAAGACUAAAACUCAAAGGAAUAGACGGGGACCCGCACAAGCGGUGGAUCAUGUGGUUUAAUUCGACGAUAAGCGAGAAACCUCACCUAGACUUGACAUCUCGAGAAGGUUCUAGAAAUAGAACUGUGCCUUUUGGAACUCGAUGACAGGUGCUGCAUGGUUGUCGUCAGCUCGUGCCCUGAGGUGUUCGGUUAAGUCCGUAAACGAGCGCAACCCUUGUCAUAUGUUGUAUUUCUCAUAUGAAACUGCCGGCUCCAAGCCGGAGGAAGGUAGGGAUGACGUCAAAUCAGCAUGGCCCUUAUGUCUAGGGCUACACACGUGAUACAAUGGGUCGUACAAUGGGUAGCCAAGGCGCAAGCCGGAGCCAAUCCCGAAAACGAUCCUCAGUUCGGAUUGAGGUCUGCAAUUCGACCUCAUGAAGUGGAAUCGCUAGUA